CAGGCUUAACACAUGCAAGUCCACUGGCAGCAUCAUCAAAGCUUGCUUUGAUGGAUGGCGACCGGCGCACGGGUGAGUAACACGUAUCCAACCUGCCGACAACACUGGGAUAGCCUUUCGAAAGAAAGAUUAAUACCGGAUGGUAUAGUUUUCCCGCAUGGGAUAAUUAUUAAAGAAUUUCGGUUGUCGAUGGGGAUGCGUUCCAUUAGGCAGUUGGCGGGGUAACGGCCCACCAAACCUACGAUGGAUAGGGGUUCUGAGAGGAAGGUCCCCCACAUUGGAACUGAGACACGGUCCAAACUCCUACGGGAGGCAGCAGUGAGGAAUAUUGGUCAAUGGACGAGAGUCUGAACCAGCCAAGUAGCGUGAAGGAUGACUGCCCUAUGGGUUGUAAACUUCUUUUAUACGGGAAUAAAGUUAGCCACGUGUGGUUUUUUUGUAUGUACCGUAUGAAUAAGGAUCGGCUAACUCCGUGCCAGCAGCCGCGGUAAUACGGAGGAUCCGAGCGUUAUCCGGAUUUAUUGGGUUUAAAGGGAGCGUAGGCGGGUUGUUAAGUCAGUUGUGAAAGUUUGCGGCUCAACCGUAAAAUUGCAGUUGAUACUGGCGACCUUGAGUGCAACAGAGGUAGGCGGAAUUCGUGGUGUAGCGGUGAAAUGCUUAGAUAUCACGAAGAACUCCGAUUGCGAAGGCAGCUUACUGGAUUGUAACUGACGCUGAUGCUCGAAAGUGUGGGUAUCAAACAGGAUUAGAUACCCUGGUAGUCCACACAGUAAACGAUGAAUACUCGCUGUUGGCGAUAUACAGUCAGCGGCCAAGCGAAAGCAUUAAGUAUUCCACCUGGGGAGUACGCCGGCAACGGUGAAACUCAAAGGAAUUGACGGGGGCCCGCACAAGCGGAGGAACAUGUGGUUUAAUUCGAUGAUACGCGAGGAACCUUACCCGGGCUUAAAUUGCAACUGACGGAACCGGAAACGGUUCUUUCUUCGGACAGUUGUGAAGGUGCUGCAUGGUUGUCGUCAGCUCGUGCCGUGAGGUGUCGGCUUAAGUGCCAUAACGAGCGCAACCCUUACGGGUAGUUACCAUCAGGUUAUGCUGGGGACUCUACCCGGACUGCCGUCGUAAGAUGUGAGGAAGGUGGGGAUGACGUCAAAUCAGCACGGCCCUUACGUCCGGGGCUACACACGUGUUACAAUGGGGGGUACAGAAGGCAGCUACACGGCGACGUGGUGCUAAUCCCAAAAGCCUCUCUCAGUUCGGAUUGGAGUCUGCAACCCGACUCCAUGAAGCUGGAUUCGCUAGUAAUCGCGCAUCAGCCACGGCGCGGUGAAUACGUUCCCGGGCCUUGUACACACCGCCCGUCAAGCCAUGAAAGCCGGGGGUACCAAAAGUACGUAACCGCGAGGAGCGUCCUAGGGUAAAACU
Molecule: ribosomal RNA, 1422 nt
Filed under: uncultured organism
Description: 16S ribosomal RNA
Rfam family: Bacterial small subunit ribosomal RNA
Source: RNAcentral